CCGCACGAAUGACUGGACCACCUGGGAGCUGGAGUGUGCCGGCAAUUAGCCUCCCUGAAUCUGCAGUUAACCGCAGCUUAAUAGACGAAUGCUGGGUGGCCGCCAUUCGUAUCACGAACACGAGGUCGCGGCCAUUUUAAACAUGCGAAUGCACAGCAGUGUUCGACGCUUAAUUCAUGGAACUGAAAUCGGACACAGUUUUGCGCGAACACCGCUGAAGCUGCC
This 225-nucleotide long non-coding RNA is filed under the name Pelobates cultripes (western spadefoot toad). The record is from RNAcentral. Lineage: Eukaryota; Metazoa; Chordata; Amphibia; Anura; Pelobatidae.